UACGAAGGGGGCUAGCGUUGCUCGGAGUCACUGGGCGUAAAGGGUGCGUAGGCGGGUCUUUAAGUCAGGGGUGAAAUCCUGGAGCUCAACUCCAGAACUGCCUUUGAUACUGAAGAUCUUGAGUUCGGGAGAGGUGAGUGGAACUGCGAGUGUAGAGGUGAAAUUCGUAGAUAUUCGCAAGAACACCAGUGGCGAAGGCGGCUCACUGGCCCGAUACUGACGCUGAUGCACGAAAGCGUGGGGAGCGAACAGG
Molecule: ribosomal RNA, 253 nt
Filed under: uncultured bacterium
Lineage: Bacteria
Description: partial 16S ribosomal RNA
Rfam family: Bacterial small subunit ribosomal RNA
Source: RNAcentral